RNAcentral lists this ribosomal RNA (460 nucleotides) under uncultured bacterium. Its description in RNAcentral is "partial 16S ribosomal RNA". It matches the Rfam family "Bacterial small subunit ribosomal RNA", at positions 338 to 795 of the family's 1533-position model. The record is from RNAcentral.
CCUACGGGUGGCAGCAGUGAGGAAUCUUCCUCAAUGGACGAGAGCCUGAAGCAGUCACGCAGCGUGAAGGAUGACUGCCCUAUGGGUUGUAAACUUCUUUUAUAUGGGAAUAAAAUGCUCCACGUGUGGGAUUUUGUAUGUACCUUAUGAAUAAGGAUCGGCUAACUCAGUGCCAGCAGCCGCGGUAAUACGGAGGUUCCGAGCGUUAUCCGGACUUAUUGGGUUUAAAGGGAGCGUAGGUGGAUUGUUAAGUCAGUUGUGAAAGUUUGCGGCUCAACCGGAAGAUUGCAGUUGAAACUGGGAGUCUUGAGUACAGUAGAGGUGAGCGGAAUUCGUGGUGUAGCGGUGAAAUGCUUAGAUAUCACGAAGAACACCAGUUGCGAAGGCGGUUCACUGGACUGCAACUGACGCUGAGGCUCGAAAGUGUGGGUAUCAAACAGGAUUAGAUACCCGGGUAGUC